GCGCACCGGCCCGCGGAGGCGGCGCUGACCCGGCCCAGCGGAGCGGCUCCCCCGGGCCAUGGGCAGCGGCGACCCCGGCCCGCACCGAGGGCAGCACCGGCAGAUGCGCUGAUGUCUGCCCCUUGCCAAGACCUGACCCACCCGAGGUUGGCAGAUGCGCAGAUGUGAGCGUGAAUCCCCAGUAAAAGAAUGAGUGAGAGAGACAUACAGAGCCUGAGCAAAUGGGUUUUCGUGCUCACUCUCUGCCUUACCACGCUGUGGGGACGACUGACACUGGCCUCCACCCAUCA
Molecule: long non-coding RNA, 290 nt
Organism: Empidonax traillii (willow flycatcher)
Lineage: Eukaryota; Metazoa; Chordata; Aves; Passeriformes; Tyrannidae
Exons: 3
Source: RefSeq, a predicted model, not a curated record